RNAcentral lists this ribosomal RNA (335 nucleotides) under uncultured bacterium. Its description in RNAcentral is "bacterial SSU rRNA". It matches the Rfam family "Bacterial small subunit ribosomal RNA", at positions 568 to 898 of the family's 1533-position model. The record is from RNAcentral.
CGUGUAGGCGGCUCGGUAAGUCCGCUGUAAAAGUCCAGGGCUCAACCCUGGAAAGCCGGUGGAAACUGUCGAGCUAGAGUCCGGAAGAGGCGAGUGGAAUUCCUGGUGUAGCGGUGAAAUGCGCAGAUAUCAGGAGGAACACCAAUGGCGAAGGCAGCUCGCUGGGACGGUACUGACGCUGAGACGCGAAAGCGUGGGGGAGCAAACAGGAUUAGAUACCCUGGUAGUCCACGCUGUAAACGACGGGCACUAGGUGUGGGGGGGUGUCGACUCCCUCCGUGCCGACGCUAACGCAUUAAGUGCCCCCGCCUGGGGAGUACGGCCGCAAGGCUAAA